Molecule: transfer RNA, 78 nt
Filed under: Avibacterium paragallinarum
Lineage: Bacteria; Pseudomonadati; Pseudomonadota; Gammaproteobacteria; Pasteurellales; Pasteurellaceae
Also listed under: 2 other names
Description: tRNA-Met
Rfam family: tRNA
About the family: Transfer RNA (tRNA) molecules are approximately 80 nucleotides in length. Their secondary structure includes four short double-helical elements and three loops (D, anti-codon, and T loops).
Source: RNAcentral
GCCCCAAUAGCUCAAUAGGUAAGAGCAAUCGGCUCAUAACCGAUAGGCAGAUAGGUUCAAAUCCUACUUGGGGCACCA